Molecule: ribosomal RNA, 253 nt
Filed under: uncultured bacterium
Lineage: Bacteria
Description: partial 16S ribosomal RNA
Rfam family: Bacterial small subunit ribosomal RNA
Source: RNAcentral
UACGAAGGGGGCUAGCGUUGCUCGGAAUUACUGGGCGUAAAGGGCGCGUAGGCGGACAGUUUAGUCAGAGGUGAAAGCCCAGGGCUCAACCUUGGAACUGCCUUUGAUACUGGCUGUCUUGAGUUCGGGAGAGGUGAGUGGAACUCCGAGUGUAGAGGUGAAAUUCGUAGAUAUUCGGAAGAACACCAGUGGCGAAGGCGACUCACUGGCCCGAUACUGACGCUGAGGCGCGAAAGCGUGGGGAGCAAACAGG